UAACUACGUGCCAGCAGCCGCGGUAAUACGUAGGGUCCGAGCGUUGUCCGGAAUUAUUGGGCGUAAAGAGCUCGUAGGCGGCGUGUCACGUCUGCUGUGAAAGACCGGGGCUUAACUCCGGUUCUGCAGUGGAUACGGGCAUGCUAGAGGUAGGUAGGGGAGACUGGAAUUCCUGGUGUAGCGGUGAAAUGCGCAGAUAUCAGGAGGAACACCGGUGGCGAAGGCGGGUCUCUGGGCCUUACCUGACGCUGAGGAGCGAAAGCAUGGGGAGCGAACAGGAUUAGAUACCCUGGUAGUCCAUGCCGUAAACGUUGGGCGCUAGGUGUGGGGACUUUCCACGGUUUCCGCGCCGUAUCUAACGCAUUAAGCGCCCCGCCUGGGGAGUACGGCUGCAAGGCUAAACUCAAAGGAAUUGACUGGGGCCGCACGAGCUGACGAGCAUGUGCUAACGUCGACGCAUCGCGAUACUUACAAGCUUGAACAUCACUCCGGUGACCUCUCGCCAAAAA
RNAcentral lists this ribosomal RNA (509 nucleotides) under Nocardiopsis ganjiahuensis. RNAcentral's name for it is "bacterial SSU rRNA". It matches the Rfam family "Bacterial small subunit ribosomal RNA", at positions 498 to 1006 of the family's 1533-position model. Lineage: Bacteria; Bacillati; Actinomycetota; Actinomycetes; Streptosporangiales; Nocardiopsidaceae. The record is from RNAcentral.